GUGCCAGCCGCCGCGGUAAUACGAAGGGGGCUAGCGUUGCUCGGAAUCACUGGGCGUAAAGGGUGCGUAGGCGGGUCUUUAAGUCAGGGGUGAAAUCCUGGAGCUCAACUCCAGAACUGCCUUUGAUACUGAAGAUCUUGAGUUCGGGAGAGGUGAGUGGAACUGCGAGUGUAGAGGUGAAAUUCGUAGAUAUUCGCAAGAACACCAGUGGCGAAGGCGGCUCACUGGCCCGAUACUGACGCUGAGGCACGAAAGCGUGGGGAGCAAACAGGAUUAGAAACCCCCGUAGUCC
Molecule: ribosomal RNA, 292 nt
Filed under: uncultured bacterium
Lineage: Bacteria
Description: partial 16S ribosomal RNA
Rfam family: Bacterial small subunit ribosomal RNA
Source: RNAcentral